GAUGAACGCUAGCGGCAGGCUUAACACAUGCAAGUCGAGGGGCAGCAUAAUGAAGUAGCAAUACGGAAUUGAUGGCGACCGGCGCACGGGUGCGUAACGCGUAUGCAACCUACCCAUAACAGGGGGAUAACACUGAGAAAUUGGUACUAAUACCCCAUAACAGUUUUAGAGGCAUCUUUAAGAUUUGAAAGUUCCGGCGGUUAUGGAUGGGCAUGCGUUGUAUUAGCUAGAUGGUGAGGUAACGGCUCACCAUGGCGACGAUACAUAGGGGGACUGAGAGGUUAACCCCCCACACUGGUACUGAGACACGGACCAGACUCCUACGGGAGGCAGCAGUGAGGAAUAUUGGUCAAUGGACGCAAGUCUGAACCAGCCAUGCCGCGUGCAGGAAGACGGCUCUAUGAGUUGUAAACUGCUUUUGUACAAGGGUAAACCCUGGGACGUGUCCCAGGCUGAAAGUACUGUACGAAUAAGGAUCGGCUAACUCCGUGCCAG
Molecule: ribosomal RNA, 495 nt
Filed under: uncultured bacterium
Lineage: Bacteria
Description: bacterial SSU rRNA
Rfam family: Bacterial small subunit ribosomal RNA
Source: RNAcentral